RNAcentral lists this long non-coding RNA (2287 nucleotides) under Zea mays. RNAcentral's name for it is "long non-coding RNA (ZMAY_LNC004109)". The record is from RNAcentral. Lineage: Eukaryota; Viridiplantae; Streptophyta; Magnoliopsida; Poales; Poaceae.
UUGACGCCAUAAAGCUGACUGGGAGAUGCCACCUAGAUCAACUCGCACUCCUCAUUGUACAGCUCCUCCUAGACCACCUGUUCUCCUGUGGGGGUUUAUAUAUUGCAAGUGUGAGCUCACAAAAAGAUCAUAGCUCAACAAGUUGUGGGGAAUAAUGUGCAUGAACUCACCAAAGGUGGGAGUUCAUGUGAAGUGUAAGGCUGAUCAACAAUAGGGGUUAAAGCUGAGCAUUGAUUUUAAUAAGUUGGUCAAAUUUAAUUAGCAGUUACUAAAUGUAAGUAAAUACCAAACCAGAAUGAUAAUAGAUCAAAAUUAAUAAUAAAUCUCAAUGCGAUGCAAAUGACAAAUUGAAUUUAAUUCCAUAAUUUAAUCAUGCGAGAGUCCUGAGCUGCUCAUUACCGCGAGCACGGCUAGUAUACCAGUUUUACACUCUGCAGAGGUUGUACCCUGUACCCACAAGUCGUGUAUUCUAUGAUGCCUGGGUUUGCAAGGCCCUUAGACACUAUCGAGGUGAAUGGCUAGGGAUCCACUACGAGGCCUUUAUAAAGUUCCACUAGCUUCAAAAACCCCGCUACAGUUUCAAGGAAGAGCAAUACAGGAAUCCCCCGUCUGACCGCCAUCACAGCAAAAUCAACCCGGGAACCUCCCUACACGCCUACUCCCCUACUGCCCUUGCCCCUAUCGGGUAAGGCAGUCCUCCACUAGCUUUCCUAAUUAGUCAGCCAAGGGUGUUCCAUUCCACCCUUGUGGUGGCACGUGUUUCUCAAGUUAAGCUCGAUGUUCCAAUUAACAUAGUUGUCUUAUCAUGAACAGAAAUAGAAUACUAAUAAAGAAUAAUCGUGUGUAAUAGUUAUCUCAACACCCAAACCAUGUAUAGCAAUAGCAAUGACUACCCAAAAAUUCAGGGGUAAACAAGGUGAAAAGAUAACCAGACUAGGGUGACCUAUUGGGUCCAAUCAAAAUUAAGCCAAUGCAUGAAUAAAUGAUUAUAAAGAACAUUAUUGGGUAAAUAAAAGUGGUCAAGGGCAUAACUUGCCUUCAAUGAGCUCCUGCUUAGCAACUUCUACCUGCUGAACACCCAGAUCCUCGGCCACUGGCCCUUCUACUCGCCACAAUACAAACAAAUAUGGUACAAGGAUAAACUAACAUCACACCAAACAUGAAUACAUAAUACAUAAUAAUAAUCUACAUGUCGUAACGAGAUCGUAGGAAAAAGAAUCACUAAAUUCAGAGUUACGGAUUUUAAGUUAUGAUUUUCCGAAGUUCGUAUGUGCUUGGUACAAAAUUAAUUGAGUAAUCAAUUCUAGUAUAGUUUUCAUGUUAAAACAAUGUUACCAAGUGAUAGACAAUAUUAAUACAAAACUAUAGGAACUGGAAUGGACUAAAAAGAAGCUAAAAUGAAUUUUAUAGGAAUUAAUCAAGUUUCUGCAAUUGAUUUUGUACUAGAAAUCAUUUUCUAAAUAAUUUCUCUGGUUUCAUUAAAUGUAUGGACUGCGCUCACUAAUAACAGAUAGCUCGAGGUUAAACUUGCAAAAUGCCCUAGACUCAGACUAUAGUUGAGAGGAUCGCGGGUUGAUUUCUAUCUUCUGCGGGGUCUCUUUGACAAAAUCUCCUGGCCCAAGGGGUAUGCUUUGCCCAGAGCCGUCCGAUCCCAAUCGGACGCACCAGAUUAGACCAAGACCCCGCGAAUUGGUACGUGAUGCAGACCGCCCGAUCCGCAAUCAACGCACACGAUUUAACACAACUGAUGUAGGUAUCGAUCGUCCAAUCCUGAUCGGACGCUCCCCGACCCCAUACCUCAAUCGAUAUUCUCGUUUUGAUCUAGACCGCCCAUCCUGUGGCCGACGGCCACAACACCCUGGCCAAACCUGAGGCCGCCAGAAGCAGCGCCGCCCCGCGCCCGCGGCGGACCAUCACUGGCGCACCGCAGAUCCGCACGAAUGGCGCCCCAAUUCGAACCCGAGAGGUGCUACGCACGUAGAAAAGUAAGACAAGGCAUACGGAGGGGUUAUCACCACAAGUCGGAACAGUGGUGGCCCUGCCCACACGAUUGCGCGCUCGGCGGUGAUUCUCCGGUGACGACGAGCAAUUCUUGUCCCCAAGAAGCUCCCUUGCGCUCACCAUGGCCUCGGCGAGCAACCUUGCAACCCCGAGUAGCUCAACAAUGUAUCGCCACUGCCCAGCGCACCACAAUCACAUGCGUCUGCGACGGUGGGGGUCUUCUCCUUUGGUUUGACCCAGUCUACAUGGCGGCGGCGUAGAUGGGGAAGUUGGAGCGUGAGAAAAG